AGAGUUUGAUCAUGGCUCAGGGUUAACGCUGGCGGUGCGCCUAACACAUGCAAGUCGAGCGUGAAACUUAGUUUUACUAAGGAUUAGAGCGGCGAACGGGUGAGUAACACGUUGGUAUCUGCCCUCAACUCAGGGAUAACCCGCUGAAAAGCGGACUAAUACCGGAUAGUCCCCUUCGGGGGUAAAGCUCCGGCGGUUGAGGAGGAGCCUGCGUCUUAUCAGUUUGUUGGUGGGGUAACGGCCUACCAAGACGAUGACGAGUAGCUGGUCUGAGAGGAUGGUCAGCCACAGUGGGACUGAGACACGGCCCACACUCCUACGGGAGGCAGCAGUGUGAAUUUUCCGCAAUGGGCGAAAGCCUGACGGAGCGACACCGCGUGAAGGAUGACGCUUUUCGGAGUGUAAACUUCUUUUCUGAUGGACCACGUUCUGAGUUCACAUCAGGAAUAAGCCCCGGCUAACUACGUGCCAGCAGCCGCGGUAAUACGUAGGGGGCAAGCGUUACUCGGAAUUAUUGGGCGUAAAGCGUUUGUAGGCGGUAUGUUAAGUCGGAUAUUAAAUUUCAGAGCUCAACUCUGGAGCUGUAUCCGAAACUAUCAUACUAGAGGGUUGCAGAGGUAAGUAGAAUUCCCGGUGUAGGGGUAAAAUCCGUUGAUAUCGGGAGGAAUACCAAAAGCGAAGGCAACUUACUGGAGUAGCCCUGACGCUGAGAAACGAAAGCGUGGGUAGCGAACAGGAUUAGAUACCCUGGUAGUCCACGCCGUAAACUAUGGAUACUAGGUAUUGGAGGAAUCGAUCCUUCCAGUGCCGUAGCUAACGCGUUAAGUAUCCCGCCUGGGGAGUACGAUCGCAAGAUUAAAACUCAAAUGAAUAGACGGGGACCCACACAAGCGGUGGAGCAUGUUGUUUAAUUCGAUAAUACCCGAGAAACCUCACCAAGGUUUGACAUCCCGGGAAUUUCCCUGAAAGGGGAAAGUGCCUUUUGGAAUCCGGUGACAGGUGCUGCAUGGUUGUCGUCAGCUCGUGCCUUGAGGUGUUCGGUUAAGUCCGUGAACGAGCGCAAUCCUUAUCCUGAUUUAUAUAUUUAUCAGGAGACUGCCCUCGUAAGAGGGAGGAAGGUGAGGACGACGUCAAAUCAGCAUGGCCCUUAUGCCUUGGGCUACUAACAUGCUACAAUGGGGUAUACAAUGAGCAGCUAACCCGUAAGGGGGAGCCAAUCUCAUCAAAGUAUUUCUCAGUUCGGAUUGAGGUCUGCAACUCGACCUCAUGAAGCUGGAAUCGCUAGUAAUCGCGAAUCAGCAUGUCGCGGUGAAUAUGUUCCUGGGUCUUGUACUCACCGCCCGUCACGUCAUGGAAGCUAAGAACGCCCGAAAUCUUCUGUAUUGAGGCCUAAGGUGGAAUUAGUGACUGGGACGAAGUCGUAACAAGGUA
This 1431-nucleotide ribosomal RNA is filed under the name metagenome. RNAcentral's name for it is "bacterial SSU rRNA". It matches the Rfam family "Bacterial small subunit ribosomal RNA". The record is from RNAcentral.